Molecule: long non-coding RNA, 7175 nt
Organism: Esox lucius (northern pike)
Lineage: Eukaryota; Metazoa; Chordata; Actinopteri; Esociformes; Esocidae
Source: Ensembl
CCCACAACAGGUAUUUAUGUUAACAUCCAUAUAAACAGUAAAAUGUAAAACUUGAAAUUGAAAUAAUAAAUAAUAAUAAAUGGCUAGGUUGCAGGACAACGCUAUAACAAUACAGUGAGUGCAUUAUUACCACCAUAUUUUUCCAAUUACAAUUUCAUAGAUUCAUAAUUGGGCUUAAACUAUGUAAGGAUUUGAAGAACCAGCUUGAGAGAAUAAUAAAAGAAAUACAAAACAUAUUAAUGGUGUCUUUAUUUGGCUAAUAGGCCAGGGAAACAGUGAUUUGACAACAAUCAUGAAGUGGUAUAAAACAUGUGAUAGAUUUGUUAUGGAUUGCAGCUGUGAUUACCAUAAGAAUCUUUCAGAAUCUUAUGUAUUCGUAUUUCAUGUAAGUGCACUUGGUGAAUAGGAUUGUGAAAUUAUUUGUGUCCUAUGCAUCUCCACCAUGGGUCUUUGGGCCAAAUUGAGAAAUUCUAUUUAAACCUAUUCCUGGACAUUAAAUAGUUAUCCGUAAAUUAUCCCUUUUAUUCCAGUAAUAGGUUUAACCUGGAUCCAGGAACCUGUCCCAUAUUGCAGUGAUUGUUAUGAAAUUAACCUUUCAGAAAAUGUGUAACUGAACACUCCCCUCUCAGGUGCUUCAGACAGCAGUGAGUUAAGUCAGGAAAGAUUAAAUUAAUUCUUCCAGUUCUGGUUCUUAUUAUGCUGCUCACCUUAUCAGGAACUCAACUAAGCACCAUACCAGAAUCCUUACACGCAGGAAGGAACACACUAGCUGGGCUUGCACCUCAAGUAAGCUUAUUAGUUGUCAAGCCAACCAUAUUCUAUUGUGCUGGGCAAUUGCUCUGUGGGAUCAGUCAGGGUGUUUUGUAAAAGCACUUUGUGACAACUCUACAUGUGAAAAGGGCUUUAUAAAUACAUUUGAUUGAUUUGAAUUUGAUUGACCCCGGGGCUGGUCAAUAAGCAGGAUUCAAACCCUAGCAAUGAUGUAGCAAAAUGAGACUGUAACUUGAUAGUUGCACAUUGACCCAAACUAAUGUUCAAAGAUCCAUAGCUCAUUUUAAAACAAUAUUACAUGUUAUCACUGAGACAAAAAUACAAGUUUGUUUAUUGAGAAUUCAGUGUGUAUAAAAACUAUUAAACAAAAAAUAAUACAAAUGUUGUUUUUUAAUACUUAUCUUAAAGACUCAAUCAAGGAACCACUUGUAUUAAAAGUUUUAAAAAAGAGCAAUAAAUAAACACAAUUAUGAAUAAAUAAAUAUUAUAAAUUCUGCCCAUUCAGUGUUACACACAGCAGCACUGAAAUGCUGGUGUGUAUAACACAACACAACACAACAAUUUAGCCAUACAGAUCAGGUUGUUGUGUUUUAUCAUCAAAACAUGAUUUCUUGUCACUUGGGGAUAAUUGAAUGUAUACAAGACUGAAUAAUUCUAAUAAUAGAUGGCAUGUUUUUUAUAUUACUGAAGUAGAUGUAUUCACAGCAUGUUCUCUCCCUCUUCUUCCCGCUCUUUUCUGCAACAGCAACAGCAGUAGUGGCAAAGCCAUCGUAACACUCUGCUGAAUCUAGGUGGAGCCACUUCGGCUCCUACUACGCUAAUCUGAGCAUCUUCUUUUACUCUGUGCUCCGCUGAUGGACCCUGGAGCUCCAUUAAUGAACUGGAAUAUGUCAUGUCCACUGUUGUCUCCUCUGUUACUUGACUUAUUUUUGUUAUCAUACUGUCCUCCUCUAUUAUUGAUUCCUCCAUCAACCAUAGUCGCUCCUCUGUGGUUAAUCUGACUUCGGUUUGGUUACCUUUGUCACUUGUUUUGACUGUUUCUGUCUUUUUUUCCAUAUCAACCUGCAGUCUCUCAAUCUCUGUGAGCAUCUCCACUUUUAGUAUUUGAAGCUCCAGUUUUUUCGGCUGAUCUUCACUCAUACCUCUCUCCCACUCUUUUAGAAGAGCUUGGCUACCUCUAUGCAACUCCACCUUCACCUCCUCAAACUUUUCUUUCUCUCUUGGUAUCCUUGUUUUCUUUACCAACUCAUGGUUCUGAAUCACUACAAGUCUUUCCUGCAGAUGUUCUUUCAUUUCAUAAACUCUGUGCUUCAUCUUCUCAAUCUCUUCCCUUUCUGUCUGUACCUCUUGAUGGAUCUUUUCCAAAUACUCUCUGUUCGGGAUCCCAGUAUGUGUAGCUGUGGUUGUCUGUUUAAGCAAGUUCUCACAUUCUACACUUAGUUGAGUGGUGUCUAUGACUUGACUCUGCACAGUUUUCAGUUCUAGCUCCACUGCCCUCUUCAUUUGCAGAUCCGUCAUUUGGCCUAUGUGUCUGAGCUCCUCUUUGGCAAUCUGUAUCUCACCUCUGAUCUGUUGCAGUGCAUUCUUGCCUCUUUGUAUUUCCACCAUGUUAUUUUCAAUCUCUUUUUUCUGUUUGUCUACAACAGUCAAAAGGGAGUGUUCUUCUUCAUUAGAAAUCUUUUGUUUCAACUGUCGAGAUUCCUCAAUUUCAAGUUCUCCCUGCAUCUCCCCAGAAAAUGUUUGUGUUUCAGAAUUCACCAGCUCCACAGUUUUGUCUGUUUUUUUCAUCUCUUCUGAAUGCAUUUGUGUCGUAGCAUUUACAUAGCUCCUUUUGUCUUCAAGUUUGGACUCUUGCGUUACCAGGUUGACCUCCUCCUGCAUGUCCCCAGUUUCUUGUUUUAUCUCUGCCAUUGGCCUUAUAUCUUUAUUGUCAUCCAUCUGUGUGCUGCAUAAUACAUAAAUUGUCUCUUGCUCUAGUAUUAUUUCAGCAUUAAUACAUUGUUCUUCCUCUUUCCGUACAGCCAUCCACUUUUCCGCUUCAUCUUUUCCAGUUUCUAUCUCAGCUCUUCUCCUUUCCAGCUCAUCCAUAUCACCUGCCAUUUUUGUCUUGGCCAUGUCAAUUUCUCGCCUCUCUCUUUCCAUGUCAUCCUUUAAUUGUUCCAGUUCACACUUCUCUUUUGCUAGCAAGUCUUUUUUGUUAUCUGUUUCUUGGCGUUCUUUCUCCAGCUCAGUUUUCAUGAAUUCCAGUUUCUCUGUCUGUCUGUUGUAAUCUUUUCUCAGCCUUUCAUGUUCCUCCUUUUCCAUCUGUAUUUGUAUUGCUUGUUUCUCAACCUCCUCUUUCUUCCACUUGGUUUCCUCUGUAAGUUUUUGUAGAUUUUCUGAUUGGGAUUGAAUUGCCACCUUGUUCUUUUCCAGGUCAUUCUUUUCAUUUUGUAGCCUUAAUUUUUCUUGAUCAAAUUCCUCCCUUUUGUUUUCUAGCUCUUUCUUUUUUAUAUUUAGCUCUUCUAUUUUACUUUCAAUGUCUUGUCUCUGUUGUUGUAUUACUGUGUUGAUUUGUUCUAGUUGUUCUUUCUGCUUGCUGAUUUCCUCCUUCAUACUUUGUUCUUCCUCGGUCAGUUCUGCCAUCCACUUUUUCGCUUCAUCUUUUCCAGUUUCUAUCUCAGCCCUUCUCCUUUCCAGCUCAUCCAUAUCACCUGCCAUUUUUGUCUUGGCCAUGUCAAUAUCUCGCCUCUCUCUUUCCAUGUCAUCCUUUAAUUGUUCCAGUUCACACUUGUCUUUUGCUAGCAAACCUCUUAUGUUAUCUGUUUCUUGGCGUUCUUUCUCCAGCUCAGUUUUCAUGAAUUCCAGUUUCUCUGUCUGUCUGUUGUAAUCUUUUAUCAGCCUUUCAUGUUCCUCCUUUUCCAUCUGUAUUUGUAUUGCUUGUUUCUCAACCUCCUCUUUCUUCCACUUGGUUUCCUCUGUAAGUUUUUCUAGAUUUUCUGAUUGGGAUUGAAUUGCCACCUUGUUCUUUUCCAGGUCAUUCUUUUCAUUUUGUAGCCUCAGUUUUUCUUGAUCAAAUUCCUCCCUUUCGUUUUCUAGCUCUUUCUUUUUUGUAUUGAGCUCAUCUGUUUUUCUUUCAAUGUCUUGUCUCUGUAGUUGUAUUUCUGUGUUGAUUUGUUCCAGUUGUUCUUUCAGCUUGCUGAUUUCCUCCUUCAUUCUUUGUUCUUCCUCGGUCAGUUCUGCCAUCCUCUUUUCCGCUUCAUCUUUUCCAGUUUCUAUUUCAGCUCUUCUCCUUUCCAGCUCAUCCAUAUCACCUGCCAUUUUUGUCUUGGCGUUGUCAAUUUCUCGCCUCUCUCUUUCCAUUUCAACCUUUAAUUGUUCCAGUUCACUGACUUCUCUUUUGCAAGCAAGUCUUUUUUGUUUAUCUGUUUCUUGGCGUUCUUUCUCCAGCUCAGUUUUCAUGAAUUCCAGUUUCUCUGUCUGUCUGUUGUAAUCUUUUAUCAGCCUUUCAUGUUCCUCCUUUUCCAUCUGUAUUUGUAUUGCUUGUUUCUCAACCUCCUCUUUCUUCCACUUGGUUUCCUCUGUAAGUUUUUCUAGAUUUUCUGAUUGGGAUUGAAUUGCCACCUUGUUCUUUUCCAGGUCAUUCUUUUCAUUUUGUAGCCUCAGUUUUUCUUGAUCAAAUUCCUCCCUUUCGUUUUCUAGCUCUUUCUUUUUUGUAUUGAGCUCAUCUGUUUUUCUUUCAAUGUCUUGUCUCUGUAGUUGUAUUACUGUGUUGAUUUGUUCCAGUUGUUCUUUCUGCUUGCUGAUUUCCUCCUUCAUACUUUGUUCUUCCUCGGUCAGUUCUGCCAUCCACUUUUUCGCUUCAUCUUUUCCAGUUUCUAUUUCAGCUCUUCUCCUUUCCAGCUCAUCCAUAUCCCCUGACAUUUUUGUCUUGGCGUUGUCAAUAUCUCGCCUCUCUCUUUCCAUUUCAUCCUUUAAUUGUUCCAGUUCACACUUCUCUUUUGCUAGCAAACCUCUUUUGUUUUCUGUUUCUUGGCGUUCUUUCUCCAGCUCAGUUUUCAUGAAUUCCAGUUUCUCUGUCUGUCUGUUGUAAUCUUUUAUCAGCCUUUCAUGUUCCUCCUUUUCCAUCUGUAUUUGGAUUGCUUGUUUCUCAACCUCCUCUUUCUUCCACUUGGUUUCCUCUGUAAGUUUUUCUAGAUUUUCUGAUUGGGAUUGAAUUGCCACCUUGUUCUUUUCCAGGUCAUUCUUUUCAUUUUGUAGCCUCAGUUUUUCUUGAUCAAAUUCCUCCCUUUCGUUUUCUAGCUCUUUCUUUUUUAUAUUGAGCUCUUCUAUUUUACUUUCAAUGUCUUGUCUCUGUUGUUGUAUUACUGUGUUGAUUUGUUCUAGUUGUUCUUUCUGCUUGCUGAUUUCCUCCUUCAUACUUUGUUCUUCCUCGGUCAGUUCUGUCAUCCACUUUUUCGCUUCAUCUUUUCCAGUUUCUAUCUCAGCCCUUCUCCUUUCCAGCUCAUCCAUAUCACCUGCCAUUUUUGUCUUGGCCAUGUCAAUAUCUCGCCUCUCUCUUUCCAUGUCAUCCUUUAAUUGUUCCAGUUCACACUUCUCUUUUGCUAGCAAACCUCUUAUGUUAUCUGUUUCUUGGCGUUCUUUCUCCAGCUCAGUUUUCAUGAAUUCCAGUUUCUCUGUCUGUCUGUUGUAAUCUUUUAUCAGCCUUUCAUGUUCCUCCUUUUCCAUCUGUAUUUGGAUUGCUUGUUUCUCAACUUUUUCUUUCUCCUUCUGUCUUUCCUGAAUACAUUUUUCUAGGUUUUUACUUUGGGUUAAUAUCACCACCUUUUCCUUUUCCAGUUCAUUCUGUUCUUUUAUAAUGAUCUCCUUUUGUUGAUCAAUUUUUUCUUUUAGGGUUUGCAUUUCUUUUUUUUGAUUGUUUGUCUCUCUUAUACAUUUUUCCAACUCAUUCUUUUUGACAUUUACUUCCUUCAUCUGGCUCUUAAGGUCUUCUCUCUCCCGUUGUAUUUCAGUUUUCAAGUGUUCUAGGUUGUCUUUCAUCUUGUAGUCAUCUUCUUUCAAACAUUGCUCUUCUUCUUUCAACUCUGGCUUCCACUUGUCUGUUUCAUGUUCGCCUCUUUCUGUUUGAGCCUUUUUUUCUUCUAACUGCUUUAUUUCAAUCACUAUGUUUUCUUUGGCUAUGUCAAUUUCUUCUCUCUCCUUUUUCAUAUCAGCCGUCAUUUGUUUAAUUAUCAGUUUUUCUCUUAUUUGGUCUUCCAUAAGGUUUUGUAUUGCCAUUCUCUCACUCUGAAUCUCAGACUUAAUUUGCAUAAGCUUAUUUUUCUCCUCAGCUAUCAAUCUUUUUUCAUUCUCCAUCUCUUCUUUCUCUCUUCUAAUCUCACUAUUUAGCAACUUUAAAUGUUUAAUUUUUGUGUUACUCUGUACAAUGACCUUUUCACUUUCCUCCCUUUGCUUUUUAAUUUUUGCUGUCAUUUCUUUUUCUAAUAAAGCCUUUUCAUUCAAUGUUAUUGUUUUUAUUUCAUCCAAUUGUGUUUUCUGCUUAUCCAUUUCAUUUUUUUCUUUUUCUAAUUCUAACAUUUCAGUAUGUAUUUUUUCCAUUUGUGUGUCAAUUUCUUCUUUUUGACUUUUAAGCUUUUCAGUAAUUUUUUCAUUAUAUUGCGUUUCCAUGUUUGUCUUGUUCGUAAUAGCGUUCAACUCCUUUUGACGAUUCUGUAAUUCCACUUCAAACUGUAAAAGCUUAUCCUUUUCUUUUUUUAAGUUUUGUUUGUCUUGCAUUAUUUGCUCCCUUUCUCUUGUGAUUUCCGACAUUUGUUCUAACUCAAAAUCUUUUUGUGUUUCUGUUAUAGUUUUUUCUGUAUAUGUUGUCCUUUCAAGACCUCUUUUCAGAAUUUCCAGUUCUACUCUUUCCUUUUUCGGCUUCCCCCUCAAAUGAUCAUAAUCUUCAUCUCUUUGUGUUUUCUUCUCUUGGAUUCCAGGCCUACUCUUUGACAGAUCCCAUUUUGUUAGAUCAAUUAUGGAAUACAUUUUUCUACUUUCUUGAUCAGUGCUCAUUUGUUCCAGGUGUUCCUGCUCUUCCUUUUGGCUUUCCUUGUGAGAUUCCAUCUCCUCUCUCUGUUGCUGUAUUUUACUCUUGAUGUGUUCCAGUUCCUCUCUUCCCUUUUUUAGUUCAUCAUGACUCUUGUCAAUGUCUCUUUUUUGUCUUUCAAUUUUCUCGUUCAAGAGUUCAAGCUCUUUUUGAUUUUGUUUAGUCUCUUCCAUAACAUACUCAGAUUCUUCUUGUUCUUGUUUUUGAAUUUUGACAUCUGUUUCUUCGUCUUUCUGUAUGUGAAUCUGUGCUUUUAAAUAUUCCAUCAUGACCUAAGCAAAAAUAAAUUUGAGAUUAUGUUCUAACCUUUCAGGCACUUUACAUGGCAAUUACAUUUUGU